CAUAAAUAGAAGUCGAGUAGAGAAACAACCAGUGGAAAAAAAAAAAAAAAAUCCCCAGAUCUAAACUGCUUAGCUCUCGUCUUUGUCAGAUCUGAAAACUUCCAAUCAGAAUUGGCUCGUGGGUUGGAGCUGAGUGGAAAACGAUUCCUCUGGGUGGCGAGACCUCCCAGAGCCGAUGGUGCUUCGGGAAGAUUCUUCGAAGCUGGUGUUGAUGGUGCCCUUACGGCGUCGUAUCUACCGGAUGGGUUUUCGGAGAGGACACGAGGGGCAGGGCUGGUGACGGCGAUGUGUACGGCCGACUUUGCCCUAUUUUACUUGGGGUGAUGUUGUUCAAGUUGACACUUGGGUUAGUGCCCCAGGGAAGAAUGGUAUGCGGCGUGAUUGGAUUAUCCAUGAUUGCAAAACAGGACAAAUUUUAACAAGAGCCUCCAUGUGUGGGUGAUGAUGAAUAAACUGACUAGGAGAUUAUCCAAAAUACCCGAUGAGGUUCGGAGUGAAAUAGAGCCUUACUUUAUGAAUUCUGCUCCUGUUGUGGAGGAUGGCAGGAAACUGCAGAAACUUGACGACAAUACUGCGGGCUUUGUCCGUAUUGGUUUAACUCUUAUUCACCUUGUCGACCUCAUCGUUCUCCAAGCUGACCUGCGUCGAGUCCCCGACCUCCUUCUCCAACCUGACGUGCUCCAAGUGCCCGACUUCAUUCUCCGACCUAAGCCGACUAGAGCCGCCUCCGAUCUGACCCCGAGUCCCCGACCUCUCUCUCUGACCCCGUGUUCCCCUGCCUCUCUCUCUGACCCCGAGUCCCCGAUCUCGUUCUCCAGACCUCGAGCUUGAGAUCCGAUCUGACCUCGAGCUUAUUAGCGGACCUGAGCUUGUCAUUCUACAACUUGAGCCAGCUCUAGCUAGUUCUCCAAGGUCUAGUCUCAGGAAGAUCCUAGAUUGAAGGUUUUCAAGAAGGAGUGGUUUGAAGGCAAGGACUGUCUUGACAUUGGCUGCAAUUCUGGGAUCAUCGCUAUACAAAUCGGGAAGCUGAUUAUAAUCUCGAACAAUUGCCCUCCUCUAAGAAAGUCGGAGAUCGAGUACUACGCCAUGCUUGCUAAGGUUGGAGUUCAUCACUACAAUGGAAAAUAGAAAGAAGGAUGCUGACGAUGAUGAUCACCAGCAGUUCACUGUUAGUUCUUUUGCUGCGCUUCUUCUUCUUCUUUCUUUUCAACUGCUAGGCUUCUCUUUAACGGAAUACUACUUCUAAGCUUUCUGAUUUUAAAUUUAUAAGAUCUAUGCACUUGCACUUGAGUUUCUUUAUCAUAGAAUGUCAUUCUCAAUUUAUGCUCCUGGGUGGUGGCCACAAGUUUACCCAUGAAGGUAUCAACUUGAGAGGAGAUAUCAAUGUUUGUAUAGUAGGGGACCCCAGUUGUGCAAAAUCUCAGUUCCUCAAGUAUGCUGCUGGAAUAGUUCCAAGAUCUGUUUACACGUCAGGGAAAUCCUCCUCUGCUGCUGGUUUAACUGCAACUGUGGCCAAAGAACCAGAAACUGGGGAAUUUUGUAUUGAGGUAUCAUUUAAAUACAUUAUGCAUCUUAACCAUGAUAGAUGGCUCCUACAUUUGAUUAUUACUACUGAAAAUUCUAGUGUUUCCUUAUCUUCUUGCUAUAUGGAGUUGAUAUGUUGAGAUCAAGAAAGAGGUCUUCCAUAUGACCUGAAGUGAAUUAUUAAAUUUAUGCAUAAAACCUCCAUAGUUUAUUUCAUUGUCAUGUGAUAUUGUGUUUCAGAUAAGCAUAGUUUGAAAAAGUUAGCUCAUAAACCAAAGUUUUUCUACAUUACAAUCAUCUGACAUUAGUGCUUGUUAUAUAAACUUAACUAGAAAUAAAGGUCUUUUAAAACAAGACCUCUGAGAUGCCCAUUUCCAGGUUGUCAAGUUAUUUCAACACCAAGCAGCAUGGGAUCUUCAUUAUGUGCCAUCCCAUAUGUCAAAACAUAGUGGCGAUGCUUGUUGUCAAACUCAUCAACUCCAUCAUCUUGUUUUCAGGCUAAACUGUUUGCUUUUAGUUAUUGUCACAACUUAGGAAUUGCAAUAUGGUUUUGUUGCAAGUCAAUUGUCAUUAAAAAUGUACCUAAAGAUGCAGUAUAGCCUAUUUAAUUAGUGCAAACAUUUUCAUCUUAGUUUCAUGUAAGUUAUAUAUAUAUGCUUGUGAAUGUAAAUAACACACAUGGUUUUGGGUUCAAACUCCAAUUAGAAGGAAAACAAGGGAAGAUCAGUUAAACAGAACACUUGGUGCUUAGAUGUGCUAAUUUAGAAGUCAGGAUAUGCCUAAGAGGACUGACAUUAUAAUUUAAUGCAUAAAAGUGGAAGCACAAGUUACAGAUAUGCUUGUGUAUACUAGGUUUGUUGAUGCAAUAAUGUUUUGAUCCAUGCACAAUCUGAAGUGCAGGGGGUGUGAUUUAAAAAAAUAAAUAAAUAAAUAAAUAAAUCGAGAUUGACAUUUGAGAAGCAGAUGUUUGACAAGGCAUAAAUGAGGAGAUGCUUUCCAUUUGGUAAUCUCAUAGCACUCUGUUAUAAAAUUGUUGAUAUAUCACAUUUGAUCUUAUUUCAGGCUGGCGCGUUAAUGCUCGCUGACAAUGGCAUUUGUUGCUUUGAUGAAUUUGACAAGAUGGACGUUAGGGAUCAGGUUGCAAUUCAUGAGGCAAUGGAACAGCAGACAAUAAGCAUUACAAAAGCAGGAAUACAGGCAACACUGAAUGC
This is an RNA transcript of Rosa chinensis, 2735 nucleotides long. It is a transcript of the gene named DNA replication licensing factor MCM6, with no coding region annotated. NCBI's taxonomy places the organism in Eukaryota, Viridiplantae, Streptophyta, Magnoliopsida, Rosales, Rosaceae. The record is from RefSeq and is a predicted model, not a curated record. The transcript has 9 exons.